GAGUUUGAUCUUGGCUCAGAACGAACGCUGGCGGCAGGCUUAACACAUGCAAGUCGAACGGGCGUAGCAAUACGUCAGUGGCGCACGGGUGAGUAACACGUGGAUAUCUGCCUUUUGGUUCGGGAUAACCCUGGGAAACUAGGGCUAAUACCGAAUGGUUCCUACGGGAUAAAGAUUUAUCGCCAAAAGAUGAGUCCGCGUCCGAUUAGCUAGUUGGCGGGGUAAUGGCCCACCAAGGCGACGAUCGGUAGCUGGUCUGAGAGGACGAUCAGCCACACUGGGACUGAGACACGGCCCAGACUCCUACGGGAGGCAGCAGUGGGGAAUAUUGGACAAUGGGGGCAACCCUGAUCCAGCCAUGCCGCGUGAGUGAUGAAGGCCUUC
Molecule: ribosomal RNA, 384 nt
Filed under: uncultured Alphaproteobacteria bacterium
Lineage: Bacteria; Pseudomonadati; Pseudomonadota; Alphaproteobacteria
Description: bacterial SSU rRNA
Rfam family: Bacterial small subunit ribosomal RNA
Source: RNAcentral